Vespa velutina is the source of this 4830-nucleotide long non-coding RNA. RefSeq lists it as uncharacterized. The record is from RefSeq and is a predicted model, not a curated record. The transcript is spliced from 2 exons. NCBI's taxonomy places the organism in Eukaryota, Metazoa, Arthropoda, Insecta, Hymenoptera, Vespidae.
CUCUUGAGACCAUCUAUCGUCUUCCUUUUUUACCUUUUGUGUCGUUUCACCGUAUGAAGUGGAAGCAACGGUACUCGCUAAACUAAUAGAAAAAAGCAGACUUGCUACCUAUGAGCUUGACCGUGCGAAAGAUAAACGAACGAUCGGAAUGCGUAACAAAAAUUUUUCCUAUUCCAUAUUCGGUUUAUGUUCAUCGUGUAUUUAUGUAUAUGUUAGAAGUAAAGAUAAAAGUAGUAACAAAAAUAAUUCUUAAAGUUACUAUCGGUAUAGAUAUAAAUGGAUCAUAAAUUUCGAUUCGUCGCUCGUUACUUUAAGAAUGGAGAAUAUAAAGGAUAGCAAACAUUACUAAGCAGGUGGUGUUCCGUUCAGGUCCCUACACCACCGUCGAACGAAAGAUUCAGGUAUAGACCGUUCAACAUUGUCAGAGAAUUCUCUUUCCUGGAAUGAUUUACAGCAACUAUUCUACCGAAAGAUGACAGUUACGUACCUCUUCUUCUUUCUCUUCUUUCCUUUCUUUUUCUUUUCUUUUCGAUAAUAGUAUGAUAUUUUAUACCCAUAGAGCUUAACUUACUUCUCCUAAUAUCUUUCUAUCUUAUUUUUUAAGAUCUUUUGACAUUCAUUAACUGCUGUCAUAUAUCAAACUAUAUAAUCGACUAUGUUAUCUAUUUCUAUUGUUAUAAAAUAAUGUAAAGAUGGACGAUAGUUACACACAAACACAGACAUACGUUCAAUCUGUAUCGAUAUCAAAUGUUUUACCUGCGUCUCAUUGAAUCUGUCGAUCUAAUAAACAAAUUAGACGGAUUAGUUCUAUAUACGUAGUUCACUUUGAUAAGCACUCUCCGCGUUUGCCUUGGAUUGCUCGAUAAAAGAUAAAAGGGGAGUCCGAUUAUGCCGCUAAAUGGCGCGGAUUGACUCGGGGGGAACGACGAGAAUACGGCUUAUUUAUUUUUAUACCGAAAACUUAACGGCGUCCUCCUCUUUUCUCUCGUCCUUCUCUCCCUCUCUCACUCUUUCUCUUAUGUGGAUAUAACGUACGCACACCAUGAGUUAAAUAUACCUUGUUAAACGGCUAAUUAGGCCUUAAUAAGAUCGGUUCGGCCAGAGCACUCACACGAGAAUCCAGGCCAAUGGUACGGCAAGUCUCGGUGGAACUUUUGAUAAAGCGACGAUAGAAUUCUUCUUACGGCGUCUGCACAAGUUAUCAUCGAGCAUCUUCGAGCCGGUAACUUUGUUCUUUCGGGGAUCAUUAUCAACCCAGUCUCUUUUUCUAUGGUAUGAGAUACAUAGGUAUAUAAAUAUUUAGGUACUUAUUAAGACAACGUUUUCUCAUCAUUUUCGCAUUAUACGAUGAUCAAUACAUCUUUCGUUGUUAGAUUGUAAAAUGUACGUUUCAUAAAGAAUUCAGAGAGAAACUCGUGAUCGUGGCAGGAUCAAUGUAUCAAAUCCUUUUUUUGUUAACUUAUACAAGAAGAGAAUCUGAUGGUAAAAGAAAAUCGAGUCGGGGACUGCAAAAAUGCAUGAACGAAUAAAGGAGAGGAAGAAAGAUGAAGAGAAAAAGAAAAGAAAAGAGAAAGACGGAGAGAGAGAGAGAGGGAGAGAGAGAGAGAGAGAGAGAGAGAGAAAGAAACUACAUAGCGGCGGUGGAAUAAAAGAUUAUACGAGGGAUUCUUCGUUGAAUUCUUGCUGGGAGUAUCGGACGCGUUUAAAAACUGCCACAGCGGAGUAGUCUACGUCGACGAAGGAAGGAGAAGCAAGAACGUGUUCCCUCGCGUUCUCCAAGUCAACGACGUCUACUCUACUCUUUUCUCUGUCUCUGUGUCUUUCUCUCUUCCUCUCUCUCUCUCUCUCUCUCUCUCUCUCUCUCUCUCUCUUUCUCUCUCUUUACCGUACGAAAGAAAGGUAUAGAGGAACGUUAACCAACGAAGCAUAAAAUAAACGCUCAAAUCGAAGUCCCUGGCAAACUUACCUAUUGAGGAUCUCGUAGUAUUUCCUUCAAUAGUUAAAAUAUACCUUCCUGAUAGUUAUUAGUUCGUUUCUAUGAUACUAAAUCUCUUCUAAAAAGUGAAAUAGUUGAAGUUGCUAUAGCAAAGAUUUAAUUGUUAGACUAAACGAAUCGAAAUAUCGGCUAAUUUUCAAAAGACACAGAGAUCUUUUAUCAAAAGUGAAUUUAAUAUAGAAUUUGUUGAUAAUGUUCCCACGAAUCGGUAACGAGUAGCUAAGAUGUAAAGGGAACAAGCUAAGGUCAACACCACUUGAACCGAUCCCGAUGACUAUGAUCGCGAGCAAUGACGCAUCGGAACCGCGUUUCAUCUUACAUUACAAACGUUACCAAAGGAUUUGAUCGGCCUUAAGAAAAUAGAUACCGUAGAGGUAUCAUACUUAACGAAAAACUAUGUCCAAAAUAUCCUCAGUUACCUUCAUGUUUAACUGAUCUCAUAAUCAUUAUAAUACUAUGUAAACGGAUCGUUGAGAGUUAACGUUAACUUAUCUCGAAGGAACUUUAGUAGGAUUGGAUGUUCAGCAAUUGAGUUAUCUCUGCCAGUACGACGACAGCCAGCGGCAAUCAGGGUCGAGCGACAAUGCAUUCACCUCGUGCAUUGACCACAAUUUAAUUCGUUUGUGUAUCUUCACUCGUCUCAGAUCGAUGCAAAUUUUUCCGCAUAUUUUCUUCUCUUCUUUCUACGGACUCGCAAAUAUCAGUUUCGCAAAAAAUGAUCGAAGGAUUCUUUAUGAACGAUAGAAAGAAAGAAUAUCGGGAGAUCGUAUUUAAAAAUAGAACCAUUUGAGGAAGAGACUCCGUAGAAUUCGAAACCACGUGUCGGGGCAACGUCAGAAGCAACCAGAGAAACUUGGAGCCAAUUACAAAGAACGCAUUCACGAAUGAUUAUAGACAUGAGCCUAUAUAAAGUAGGUGUAUGUUGUACAAGUGUUGUACCGUGCUUAGCCGUAAUUGUUUAAUGGGCUAAUGAAAUGAUAUACCCGCCGAAUCUAAGACCGCACAAAAAGCCAAUUGUGUAUAGCCGACAUUCCACGAUUAGCCUGACUUUAUAAUGUGAGGCAUUGGGCCGCCAGUAAGUUCACGCGCUCUGCCCCUCGAAUGGCCUCAGUCUGACCUCAAGGUAGGACGAUAAUGCACCAGACUCGACAGAUAAUCAUCAAAGCGUUUGUAAGCACAGUCAAAAAGUCGUCGGGUAAAAAUACUACGGUCGUUGAUAGUAGUAGUAGUAUUAGUGGUGAGGCCUGUUCCUGUUCGUGACUACAGGGCCGCACAACUUUAGUUGAUCACGUAAACUUGUAAAGCAACCAACCAACCAAUCAUCAGUCCUUUUUUUGAUUACGUAGAACAGACUUGUUCCAAGAGAUUGAUAGAUCAACAAAAGGAUACUCGCGUCAUCCGCUUAAUUUACUCGACGUACUUUAUUCGAAGUCGUGUCUUAUCUUACUCUUCCAUCCGAAAAGCGUAUGAAGAUAUUCUAUUUCUCUACUUUUCUCUUCCUAUAUGUCUAGCUUGUUAACCGUUUCUCUCUAGAUAUAAAGAAAAUUUAUUUUCUAAGAUAAACAGUAAGAAAUUAUUGAGAAAAGUACCGGAAAAGAUUUAAGAAAAUAAUUAUAACUAACAAACAGGAAAGAUUAUCUUAUUCAAAUAAGAAAAACGAUGAUGAAUAGAACAAAAUUAAUAAAAUAUUUUUACAAAUAUUGUUAUGUCUUAUUGAAAGAAAAAAAUUGAUAUAUUUCUCUUUAAAUAUAAAUGGAUUUUAUUUUCUGAGUUGAACGUUAAAAAAACGUAUUGUUGAAGAGUCAAAAAUGAAAAGUAUUUACUAGUAAAUGGAAAAAAUACAAAAAUUCCCUUUUAAUUUUCUCCAACGGUGGGUGACGCCGAAAUCGCGUUUUACAUAUUUUGUAAAUUUUGCCGGUAACAGGCUAUUAUUACGUUGCAUUGAAUUUUUAAAAAUAUUUAAACAACGGAAAACAUUAUUUCCCCAUCGAAUAAAUUUUAUUAUGCAUUUUGAUAUAAGAAGGAUUUAAUCAACUGUGCUUCCAAGAAAUGUAUUACUUCUAUGAAAUAUAUAUCAUGUACAUACAUAUAUACAUAUACAUAUAUCAUAUACAAAUCUAUACGAGAUAUACAUUUCGUUUUGCGAUUUUGUACAAAAAUCAAACAAACAAAAAAUAUGAAAAUCGCCCGCUGCUGGAGAAUUAAUUCGAAAGACGAUAAACGAAUAGAACGAAAUUAAAUGCUUUUUAAACAAAUAUUAAAAAAACAAAACAAAUGUCUUCGCCAUUAUUCUUAUUUUAUUCUUACGUUACAAUAGUUGAUACCUAUGUAUAUUGUAUAUAUUUACGUCGGUGAACGUUUUAUCUAUCAGCUGCCAUGAAAUCAUUCUAACGAUCGAAAAACGAGUAGACGUCCUUUCUCCUUUGAGUUCGAGCAUUUUUCCCAACAACAAACCAAUAGAUUUGCCGUCGAGAUAAGCGCCGCUACGAAAGCAGAGUUGACAGGACGCGUCUUGGAGUCACGUUUUACAAGUUGUUUUACAAGCAAAGGAUACAACGCCACACGCUGUGAACGGCAGGACCUCCCUCUUUUCGUUACCUUCUCGAGUACCGCUUUCUUUUGUCCGAAAACCGAAAGAUUCGAAGGAUGAAACCUCUUUUAUGCUUUUACGUUACAUAUAGUAUUGUUUUCUCUUUCCUUUUUCAAGAUUUACGUUUUAUCAUUUUUUAUCAUCUUUCGAUCGAUGUAAUCUCUUCACUUUCUAUGAGCGAAAAGCGAAUUUUUCUUAGAAUUCUAACCAAUAAAAAAAUCUAUUAAGGAAUUAUAUAAAUGUA